GAUGAACGCUGGCGGCGUGCCUAAUACAUGCAAGUCGAGCGAACAGACGAGGCGCUUGCUCCUCUGACGUUAGCGGCGGACGGGUGAGUAACACGUGGAUAACCUACCUAUAAGACUGGGAUAACUUCGGGAAACCGGAGCUAAUCCCGGAUAAUAUAUUGAACCGCAUGGUUCAAUAGUGAAAGACGGUUUUGCUGUCACUUCUAGAUGGAUCCGCGCCGCAUUAGCUAGUUGGUAAGGUAAAGGCUUACCAAGGGAACGAUGCGUAGCCGACCGGAUAGGGUGAUCGGCCACCCUGGAACUGAGACACGGUCCAUGCUCCUACGGGAGGCAGCAGUAGGCAACCUUCCGCAAUGGGCGAAAGCAUGACGGAGCAACGCCGCGUGAGUGAUGAAGGUCUUCGGAUCGUAAAACUCUGUUAUUAGGGAAGAACAAAUGUGUAAGUAACUAUGCACGUCUUGACGGUACCUAAUCAGAAAGCCCCGGCUAACUACGUG
RNAcentral lists this ribosomal RNA (497 nucleotides) under uncultured bacterium. RNAcentral's name for it is "partial 16S ribosomal RNA". It matches the Rfam family "Bacterial small subunit ribosomal RNA", at positions 28 to 507 of the family's 1533-position model. The record is from RNAcentral.